CGACCUGAGCUCAGGCAAGAUUACCCGC
This 28-nucleotide ribosomal RNA is filed under the name Bracteacoccus pseudominor. RNAcentral's name for it is "partial 28S ribosomal RNA". RNAcentral also lists the same sequence under 2 other names. Lineage: Eukaryota; Viridiplantae; Chlorophyta; Chlorophyceae; Sphaeropleales; Bracteacoccaceae. The record is from RNAcentral.